AUACACACUGCAGAUUGGGGUGCAGUCACCACCCAUAAAACCACUACAUCUUUCUAGGCAUUUACUUCAUUGGGGCUGGCUACAGGGACUUGACUACUGCCCAGCAAUCAGAAAGCGCAACCGUGAAGGGAAGAGUUCCCGUCUCCAGCAAGGCCACGCAGGAGAGGGACAGCGCACCGGAGACAGCGGAAUCCCCAGCUACACUACUCUGGGGAAAGUCCUAGAAGGGGAGAGUGGUGGGGGCUGGGCGCCCUUUGAAGAGACCACUUGGGAGUCUGAAAGGGAAGGGGCGGGGGCCGCGAGUUCCAGUGCCUCGCUGGCCGGUGUCGCUGGUCCCCCAAAAGCGGGCGCCGCGGGGCCCUUUAAGGAGCGGGGAUCCGCCCCAGCCUGGCGGGCAGACCCCGGCACGGGCGGGGGGCGCCCCGCGGGCCCUGCAGCUGCUCCCUGCGCCCGCCAGGUGGCGCCCCCGGACGCCCUGCGCUCGUCCCCCGCUUUGUUCGGCGGCCGAGAGGGGCCCGGAGCCGCAGCCCUCCCCUCCCCCACGGCGGGGCCCCCGCCCCGGGCCGUCGGGCCCAGCUCUUACCGCCGUCGUCGUCCUCGGGCUCCGCGCCGCCGCUCGCUGCGCGGGCGGCAGCCGUCGGCCCCCGUCGAGGACACUGCGGCCCGGGGCCGCCCCCUGCCGCCGCCGCCGCCGCUCCGGCUCCGGUGGUCCCCGCCGGGCUCCAUGCGCUGCGCCG
This 737-nucleotide long non-coding RNA is filed under the name Cricetulus griseus (Chinese hamster). RNAcentral describes it as "lncRNA (ENSCGRG00015040332.1)". Lineage: Eukaryota; Metazoa; Chordata; Mammalia; Rodentia; Cricetidae. The record is from RNAcentral.